RNAcentral lists this signal recognition particle RNA (99 nucleotides) under Acidobacteriota bacterium. RNAcentral describes it as "Acidobacteria bacterium (activated sludge metagenome) signal recognition particle sRNA small type". It matches the Rfam family "Bacterial small signal recognition particle RNA". Rfam says of the family: The signal recognition particle (SRP) is a universally conserved ribonucleoprotein involved in the co-translational targeting of proteins to membranes. Archaeal SRP consists of a 7S RNA and homologues of the eukaryotic SRP19 and SRP54 proteins. The record is from RNAcentral. RNAcentral also lists the same sequence under 1 other name. Lineage: Bacteria; Pseudomonadati; Acidobacteriota.
CUUCAGGCCCCGCACAAGGCUUGUGUUGUGAACCCGGCUAGGCGAGGAAUCGAGCAACCGUAGCGAUUACAACCUGUGUUGCGAUCAGGUCUGAAGCCA